Non-coding RNA from Ictidomys tridecemlineatus (thirteen-lined ground squirrel), 3331 nucleotides. The record is from RefSeq and is a predicted model, not a curated record. NCBI's taxonomy places the organism in Eukaryota, Metazoa, Chordata, Mammalia, Rodentia, Sciuridae.
GGCUGCCGCGGACGGAGCAGAUUUCCUUGUUUAAAAAAAAAAAUUAAAGGGGAAAAAGCAAAAGCAUAUACAUGUAUAAUAUAUACAUACUUGAAUUAUAUAGAAAGUCACCCCACAGGAUCAUUCCAGAGUAAAAUCUUUGUUGAUCUUUCGUUAAAACAAAAACAACUACAGCGUCUGAAUGCAGCUCACAUUUCUCUGAGGCCUUUCCUGAUGCUUCCUUACCAGGACUAUUGAUCCACUUAGAAGAUACCAAAGCUAGUGUCAGAUUUUGUUGUGAAGAAAAACUUCUCUUCAGAAAAGAGAAAUGAAGAAUAAGUAGUCUGAAGUCUGUCAGGGUGAAGAUCUUCUCUAAUUGGAAACAAAAGAAUGGGGUAUGUGAUAUAUCAGAAACCGGCUUCCAUCUUACCUAUGUGGAGAGGAAACUAUAAAUGGAAUAGGAGAAAAGAAAACCAUUAAGAAGCUAUUUCUACUUAAACUGAAGUUGUAUGAACCCCAAGGAAAGAAUGGUAAAAACAAUCCUAAAAUUUAAAGAUUAAAAAAAAUCAAAUAUUAGUUAAAACAACUUUUGAAGAUAGCAAAUCAAACUCAUGGAUUUGGAAAGACUCUCAAGUAACUGAUGAAGAUAAUUCACACAAAUUUUUAUAGAUAAUACAAUAAACUUCAAAGAGAUACUUAGAUUGCAGCAGAAAUCUCUGGUCCACACCCUAAAACAAGUUCGUUUAUGGAUUUUCUUUCAUUGUCAAGGACACGAAGAAGACAAUGUGAGUGCAGACUCCCUGGACACCCACUAACCAAUGCAGAAGUGAAGACCAGGACAGUUCUCCAGAGUUUCCUUGUGGGAUCAGGCUGAAACCGACUCCCUGCAGGGCUCUUGUUUUUUGUCUCACCUUUGAUUACUUUCUCCUUUUUCUCUGUCUUACUUUCUUAUCUGCACAUGGAUCUUUCUCCUACAGUCAGCUCCAGGGAAUUGAAGAAGUUUAAGACAGAAACUUUGAAAGUUUGAGAUCCAUCAUUGCAGGGAAUACCUUUCUUUCUGGAAAAGAAGAGAUCCUUUUUGGGACUCUGAAGAUGACAAUGUUAUCAUGAGUUAUAUAAGAACAUAACUAGUUGCUUGUCAUAUUUUUAAUAUUUAUUUUUUAGUUGUACACAACAACUUUAUUUUGUUUAUUUACAUUUUAUGUGGUGCUGAGGAUUGAACCCAGGGCCUUUUGCACGUGCUGGGCAAGCGCUCUACCGCUGAGCCACAACCCCAGCCCUUGUCAUAUUUUUAAUAACGUGAUUUUUAAUAACGACACAAAUCACAUCCUUUUUCUGACUCUCGGUUAUCUGCAGUAUAAAAUGAUGGGCUCAGAUGAAGUGAUUGCUAAAGUUUCUUUCAGAUCACAAUUUCUAUGAAAUAAAACAGGGAAUGGCAAAUGAUGGACCAUCCACACUCACUAACUUAGAUAUUGUCUAUGCCUGUUUUCAUGCUACCACUGCAGAAUUGAGUAGCCUAAGUUGUUUAUUAUCAUCUUCAACAUUUUUUAAAACAAGUGAGGAAAUCCAGACAAACUAAGGUCAAGGAACUUUGCCAAGAUAGGGUAAGAACUGGCAGAGCUGACAUUCACAUCGAGCCAGUCUGCCGAGAGUUGGUGCUUUUAAGGAUGCUAAACUGCCUUCAUCUGGGAGGGACACAAUGAAAAUGGAUGUGUAAACCUACUGACUCAUAGUAAAAACAUCACAUUUGCUUUGUUCUUUGUAGCGAGUUCACAUCAACAGGAAAUCAUGUGGAAAAACAUGAAUGGAGGAGAAGGGGUGGGGGCACGUCUACAAGCUCAGCAAUGUUAGAAAAUAACACCAUGGAUAAAAUAUAACCUGCUUACAUUUUCAUCAUCACAUGCAGUUCUAAAAUGUGAUUUUGUGUUCUCUUCAUUUUUUUCCUUUUGGUGAAAAUCGCAGACACAUUCACAAAUUCACAACUAAGAUGCUUGACUUGGUCCUGAGCACACAGGCAUCCUGCGUCUCAGAGCGGAACUGAUCAUUUUAUGCCACUUCUCACUUCUCAUCCCCUUCCCACUUCCUCUGAGAUUGCAAUUCUGCUUAGACAACGUGAUGAAUGACAAUGCUGAGCGUUGAUGAUUUUGCUGUUGACAAUCCCUGGUGUUGCUGUGCAUCAGCCACUUUGUUUUGUAACAUUUGGAGGUUUUAGAUCUCAUUGAAAUGAAUCCUUCAAGAUGUACAUGCGUGUCCUUUUCCACUAAGGUAAAGACUCCUUUGGUGGAAAAAAGUUUGUACAUGUGUGUAAAUUGAAGAACAAGGAAACAUCGAGAAAGGAGAGGAUGGAGUCAUUUUCUACUUAUCUUCCUUAAAUGACAGCUAAAAUGCAGAUUGUGAAGAAAUAGUGGCAUCUGAUACAAAUUCCCCUUUCUUUCCUUUUAUAUAUAUAUAUAGAAAUAUAUAUAUAUAUAGAAAUAUAUAUAUAUAUAUAUAUAUAUUUUCCUUUUUGGUGAGUAUCUUUAUCAUUCAUAGGCGUUCCUUUUUUCUUUAUUGGUUAUUUUAGUUAUAUCUGACAAUAGGAUUCAUUUUGAUAUAUAUCUUAUAGAAGCGUAGAUUAUAAUGUGUUCUAAUUCACAGGGUUCUAACAAUCAUCUACUAUGAGAACCUGGCACAAAUAACUUGGUUUGGGACAUUACAGCUGUAAUUUAAUACUUUUCUUAAUGCUUCUUAAUGCACGUAAAGUGGUUGAUAAAUUUCUUACACUGCCCAGGUCAGAAUUGUCUUAAAUUACCACUUUUAGCAGUGUUUGGGUCUGUGACAAGGUUAAAACACUUUCUCCCUCUCUUGCUCCUCUCUGCCAGCCUGAUUGCCUGAUUUUUAAUCUUGUUAGCCACUAUGCUAGGAAUUUACUAUGCUUUACUUUGUUUACUUCAAUUUUCAAAGUGCCAUCCACAAUUUUCAGAUGAGGAAACUGAGGUUGUAAAAAGUUAAAGAACUUGCCCAAGUUUAUAUAACAAGUAACAACAAUAACAAAUUAUUAUAUUAAUACAAUAAUAAUAAGGAAGACUGUUACGUAAGUCAGUGGUUUCCUAAAACACUUUCUAUGGACCUGUAAUGCCAGAUUCAUGGGACCCCAAUGGACCUCCAGGAGCCGAAUCUGAUGCAAUCACCCAAGAGUCUUUAUUGCAAGCUCAAGCCUGAACCCACAACCUUUUUGGACGCAGUGGUCUCAAGGAGCAAGCCCCAGUCCUUUGUUCAGUGAGAUUUUAUAGGUUUGGGGGGAUACUCUGUGUGUCACAACAUCACACAGCAAAUCAUUCCACACCACGGAAAAACCAAACAACUCUUAACA